UGGGGAAUUUUGGACAAUGGGCGAAAGCCUGAUCCAGCAAUGCCGCGUGUGUGAAGAAGGCCUUCGGGUUGUAAAGCACUUUUGUCCGGAAAGAAAUCCUCUGGGUUAAUACCUCGGGGGGAUGACGGUACCGGAAGAAUAAGCACCGGCUAACUACGUGCCAGCAGCCGCGGUAAUACGUAGGGUGCAAGCGUUAAUCGGAAUUACUGGGCGUAAAGCGUGCGCAGGCGGUUUGCUAAGACCGAUGUGAAAUCCCCGGGCUCAACCUGGGAACUGCAUUGGUGACUGGCAGGCUAGAGUAUGGCAGAGGGGGGUAGAAUUCCACGUGUAGCAGUGAAAUGCGUAGAGAUGUGGAGGAAUACCGAUGGCGAAGGCAGCCCCCUGGGCCAAUACUGACGCUCAUGCACGAAAGCGUGGGGAGCAAACAGGAUUAGAUACCCUGGUAGUCCACGCCCUAAAACGAUGUCAACUAGUUGUUGGGGAUUCAUUUCCUUAGUAACGUAGCUAACGCGUGAAGUUGACCGCCUGGGGAGUACGGUCGCAAGAUUAAAACUCAAAUGAAUUGACGGGGUCAUAGCUGUUUCCU
RNAcentral lists this ribosomal RNA (586 nucleotides) under uncultured bacterium. RNAcentral describes it as "partial 16S ribosomal RNA". It matches the Rfam family "Bacterial small subunit ribosomal RNA", at positions 355 to 1375 of the family's 1533-position model. The record is from RNAcentral.